AUCAUGUUGGCCAGGAGGGUCUCAAACUCUUGACCUCAAGUGAUCUACCUGUCUCAGCCUCCCAAAGUACUGGGAUUACAGGAGUGUGGCUUGGCCUUCCAUUCCUAAUGUUUAGCCAAGGGUGCCAGGUCUUUUCGGGAAGAGGGGUAGACUUGAAGUGAGUGAAAGUUAAAAAUGGUAGUAUCCAGAAUUUCCUGCACUCUGGAGAAAAGGGACUAGGUGAGGUGCUCAAUAUUAGCCUAGGGUUUAGCUUUUACUCUAAUAGGACCCCUUUCUUCCUUCUUCCCUAAAUUUUCCCAUUGAUUGAAGAGAGAUCCGGAUGUCUAAACCUCCCAUCUUGACACCUAGGAAGCUGUUACGCAGAUCCUCUCUCUGUGGCUUCCAAAGCCAUGGAAAAGGGGAAGGAAGGCCAAGAAAGGGGUAGAUAGAGGUGGCAGUGUCAUGGUGUCCAUCAGCACCCAACGAGAAAGGCCAAGGAGAAGAAAGUGACCAGAGAAGAAGCCAGGAGGAGAUGCCUGCUCCUGAAACAGCAUUCUUACCCCAUCCUCUCCUGCUUCCCCUCUCGCAUGCCGACAGGGCUGUGUGCCCAAGUGUGCCAGCUCGCCUGGCUAGUGAUCCUGCUCUGCUGUGCAGGCAGCCGGCUCUCUGCCCCAGCACAGAGCACAUGCUGAGGUCUCACACUCCUUUGCUCACUCAUUUCCAUGUCUAUGUUGCAGAUUCCUAGAAAUGAAGGAGGAGACUGUGGCCUUGAAGCCAGCUCCAUUCCUGGCCACCUCCAUUCCUGGCCAACUCAUCCCCUCCAGUCUGAGAGGACAUGUGAAUGCCACCAGGAUCUGAACCCAGGAUAUCCAGCCUCCAUCAUCACCCUAACCCUGAGAAUGCCACUGGGGUGGGGAGGACUUGUCAGUCUUCAUCCUUCCCCACAAGUAUACUGAGGCCAGGACAGGCCCAGCUCCAGAAGCAGACCCAGAACGGUAUCCUGAGACCCAGAACCCAGCCCCUCUUCAUGGAAGACCAGUGCAAAGGAGGAAAUAGGUUAGGGAAUGAUAAGGCUCCAUGUGAUGGGACUAAUGAGAAGAGGCAGGGAGAGGCCUAGGGCCUUUCCCUGAGGACUGGAUGGCUGGAGUUUGGGAGCCUACAUUGACAGAGGAGGCUAAGCCCGGGCAGCUACUUUGUUCCAGAAAUCUAAGGUCCCUAGAUGGAGCUUAGCUUGGGAAGGGAGAAGGGAGCUAACAUUGCAGAGUACCAACUGUGAGCCAGGUGCAGUGCCAGAGCCUUUCCAUACCUGUACUCAAAACUAGCAGGUGAGGAGUUAGGGCACAUAGGUGUCUCAUGAGCUCCCUGUAUCUUAGCACGGUCGACCACCUCCUUUGAUUCCGUGAUGUCACUGCCAGUUCUCCUUCCGCUCUGACUGGUCUUUGUCUGUAUCCUUUGCAAACUCAUUCUCAACUCCUUAGACUCAGUCAAGUCCCCCACUUAAACACUUCCAUGGUACUAUAUAUCCUUCUUCAGAGCACUUAGCACAGUUAUUUGCUAUGUAUUUGUCCAGUCAUUUGAAUAAUGAUCCUAGCUUCAUUGGAUGGAAAGUUCCACAAGGUCAGUGACCAUUUCUAUCUGUGUUCACCAGUGUGUUCCCAGUGCCCAGAAACAGUGCCUAGCGUAAAGCAGCUGUUUGGUAAAGACUUGUUCUAUGAAUGAAUAAAUGACAAAAGAACAUC
Long non-coding RNA from Cebus imitator (Panamanian white-faced capuchin), 1718 nucleotides. RefSeq lists it as uncharacterized. The record is from RefSeq and is a predicted model, not a curated record. The transcript is spliced from 4 exons. Lineage: Eukaryota; Metazoa; Chordata; Mammalia; Primates; Cebidae.